Molecule: transfer RNA, 60 nt
Filed under: Phenacoccus manihoti (cassava mealybug)
Lineage: Eukaryota; Metazoa; Arthropoda; Insecta; Hemiptera; Pseudococcidae
Description: tRNA-Asp
Source: RNAcentral
AAAAAAAUAGUUAAUAACCUAUAACAUCAAUUUGUCAAAUUGAAAUAUAAAAUUUUUUUA